This 483-nucleotide ribosomal RNA is filed under the name uncultured bacterium. RNAcentral's name for it is "bacterial SSU rRNA". It matches the Rfam family "Bacterial small subunit ribosomal RNA", at positions 501 to 985 of the family's 1533-position model. The record is from RNAcentral.
CUACGUGCCAGCAGCCGCGGUAAUACGGAGGGUGCGAGCGUUAAUCGGAAUAACUGGGCGUAAAGGGCACGCAGGCGGUGACUUAAGUGAGGUGUGAAAGCCCCGGGCUUAACCUGGGAAUUGCAUUUCAGACUGGGUAACUAGAGUACUUUAGGGAGGGGUAGAAUUCCACGUGUAGCGGUGAAAUGCGUAGAGAUGUGGAGGAAUACCGAAGGCGAAGGCAGCCCCUUGGGAAUGUACUGACGCUCAUGUGCGAAAGCGUGGGGAGCAAACAGGAUUAGAUACCCUGGUAGUCCACGCUGUAAACGCUGUCGAUUUGGGGGUUGAGCUUUAAGCUUGGCGCCCGUAGCUAACGUGAUAAAUCGACCGCCUGGGGAGUACGGCCGCAAGGUUAAAACUCAAAUGAAUUGACGGGGGCCCGCACAAGCGGUGGAGCAUGUGGUUUAAUUCGAUGCAACGCGAAGAACCUUACCUACUCUUGAC